This 727-nucleotide long non-coding RNA is filed under the name Oncorhynchus kisutch (coho salmon). RNAcentral describes it as "lncRNA (ENSOKIG00005002536.1)". Lineage: Eukaryota; Metazoa; Chordata; Actinopteri; Salmoniformes; Salmonidae. The record is from RNAcentral.
GAUAUGUAAUUCCCCUGUCUGUUAGGUUUUUGUACUCUUGUUUGUAUAUCUGGUUUUUUGUAUUUGUCUUUUUAGUGUUUGGAAUGCAGCCAAAGAUGGACUGAAAUGAAUGGAUUCCAAUUAUAUCAUUACAUUAACAGUUCAAGUGACCUUACUCGGAUGCAGCAUGUCAGCCCUACACACCUGGUUGCCUUUAUUUGGUUGAUAUCUUAUCUGCAAUAAGAAUGGAGGAAACAGAGACAAUGGUAGGAUGCCGCCCAGGAGGAAGCCCUGCAAAGGGAUUUUACCAUACUUUCUCAUUGGCGUGAUUGUCAUGUCCUCUCUCUCUCGCUCCUCUUCUCUCUGUCACUCCUCUCCUGUCUCUUCUGUCCUCUCUUCUCUGUCUCUUCGACAGCACAUGGCCUCGUGAUCAAGUUCAACGAAUGUGUGAAUGCCACAGACAAGUGAGCCUUCAACCCUCUCCACAAGGCAGCUCAGAAGGCUGAUGAUAUGUGCCCUGUUUAUGGACACUAUGCCCCCAGAUGCAGAGAAGAGGGAUCACCAGCUCAGCUCAUCAAACUGUCCAAUUUUUACAGGGGACAACAGACUUGAUCGAGGUCUUCACGGUCCAAAAAGCCUGGUAAAUGACCUGAUAAAUCCUACCCCCGCAAACCUAUGUGAACUUUUACGUUUGCGGCAUAUUUCAGAGAUAAAAUAACCAACAUUAGGUGGGUUAACAGUCAAGCAA